RNAcentral lists this ribosomal RNA (2217 nucleotides) under Triticum aestivum (bread wheat). Its description in RNAcentral is "partial small subunit ribosomal RNA". Lineage: Eukaryota; Viridiplantae; Streptophyta; Magnoliopsida; Poales; Poaceae. The record is from RNAcentral.
AUGGAGAGCAGAUGGAGGAAGGCCAAGAUGUCGCUGGGGCUCAACCUCUGCGUCUACGUGCCCCGGACGCUGGACGACCUGGACGCCGGCCCGCCCUCCACGGGCUCCUCCACGGCCGCGCUCGUCUCGCCGGCGGCCUCCUCCUCCUCCUCCUACGCCACCAGCGCCAACACCACCCCCACCGCCGACCCCGGCAGCGCCAAGGGCCCCGGCGCGCUCAUGCCCACCACCCCGACGCCAACCUCCGCCGGCCUCCGCCUCUCCAAGUCCGGCAGCAAGUCCUUCAAGAAAACAUGUGCGAUAUGCUUGACCAUAAUGAAACCUGGUCAGGGCCAUGCUCUAUUCACGGCAGAGUGCUCACAUACCUUUCACUUCCAUUGUAUAUCUGCAAAUGUUAAGCAUGGAAGCAACAAUUGCCCAGUUUGUCGCACCGAAUGGAAGGAACUUCCAUUUCGUGGCCCGCUGGUUGCUGCAAUCCCUCAAGGAAGUGCAAGGAUUAAUCCUGUCAAUGGGCAGCAAAAUGGCGGCCACAUGACACUAUUGCGACCACUCCCUCGUGCUCGUUCUUCUGGUCGCCUUCAUCAUGUAACUUGCUUGUUGCCUGACACUGACCGAAGUGUUUUCAAUGAUGAUGAACCCUUGGACUUGUGUGAGGCAACCGAGGACCAUCAGCAGGGAUGUUCAAGAACAGUAGAGAUAACGACACACCCUGAGUUCACUGAAAUACCAGAAAGUACUUCAGAAAGAAGCUUCACUGUUCUAAUUCAUCUAAAGGCACCCCUUGCUCAGAGUUUGCACGUACCCGGAGAUGACAGCAGCCCAAACACUGGUCGAGCCCCAGUUGAUCUUAUCACUGUGCUUGAUGUCAGUGGUAGCAUGGCUGGUACCAAACUUGCAUUGCUGAAGAGGGCCAUGGGGUUUGUCAUUCAGAACCUUGGCUCCUCAGACCGGCUUUCUGUCAUCGCCUUCUCAUCAUCUGCACGCAGGCUCUUCCCUCUUCGUCGGAUGACCGAAUCUGGUCGUAAGCAAAGCUUGCUAGCAGUCAAUUCUCUGACGUCAAAUGGUGGCACCAACAUUGCUGAGGGUCUGAGAAAAGGCUCCAAAGUGAUUGAAGAACGACAGGCCAAGAAUCCAGUCUGCAGCAUUAUCCUUUUAUCAGACGGGCAAGACACAUAUACAGUCUCACCAAGUACCGGUGCACACAAACCAUUUACAGUCUCACCAACUGCCAGUGCACAGAAAGCAUCAGCGGAGUAUUGUGCGCUCUUGCCAUCUACUAAUGGUAGUCAGCAGGUACCAGUUCAUGUGUUCGGGUUCGGUGCUGACCAUGAUGCAGUUUCGCUCCAUUCGAUCUCUCAAACCUCUGGUGGGACCUUUUCAUUCAUUGAGACAGAGGCUACAAUCCAAGAUGCAUUUGCUCAAUGUAUUGGUGGACUUUUGAGUGUGGUCGCACAGGAUUUACGUGUAAAGGUGGAGAGUGUGCACCCUGAUGUGCACUUUGGUUCCAUCAGAUCAGGCAGCUACUCUAGCAGAAUUGCAGAUGAUAAGAGGAAUGGGUCCAUUGAUGUUGGUGACCUAUAUGCUGAAGAGGAAAGGGAUUUUCUUAUGACCCUGAACGUUCCCCAAGGUUGUGGCGAUGAAACAGCACUUCUCAAAGUUGGUUGUGUCUACAAAGAUCCGCUGAUGAAGGAGACCAUCAACAUGGCUGAGGUGCAAGUGAAGAUCUCCAGGCCGGCAUUCGUGUCGGUGCAAACCGUGUCGAUCCAGGUGGACCGGCAGAAGAACCGCCUUCACGCAGCAGAGGUGAUGGCCGCGGCAAGGUUCUCGGCGGAGCGUGGUGAGCUGGCACACGCUGUCUCGCUGCUCGAGGACUGCCGGAGAAUGAUCAUGGGGUCAGCUUCAGGGCAGUCCGGCGACCGGCUGUGCCAGUCGCUGGACGCGGAGCUGAAGGAGAUGCAGGAGAGGAUGGCGAGCCGGCAGAGGUACGAGGCGUCUGGGCGGGCCUACGUGCUGUCGGGCCUGAGCUCGCACUCGUGGCAGAGGGCGACCGCCCGCGGCGACUCCACGGACAGCGAGAGCCUGAUCCAGGCCUACCAAACGACGUCGAUGGUCGACAUGGUGCUGCGCUCCCAGACGCUGACCCGCUCGUCGACCCCGAAGCAAACCCCGCAGAUGAGGCACGCCAAGUCGUUCCCGGCGCACCCUCAGCCUAGGUAG